AACGAACGCUGGCGGCAUGCCUAACACAUGCAAGUCGAACGAGACCUUCGGGCCUAGUGGCGCACGGGUGCGUAACGCGUGGGAACCUGCCCUUAGGUUCGGAAUAACUCCCCGAAAGGGGUGCUAAUACCGGAUACUGUCUUCGGACCAAAGAUUUAUCGCCUUUGGAUGGGCCCGCGUUGGAUUAGCUGGUUGGUAGGGUAAAAGCCUACCAAGGCGACGAUCCAUAGCUGGUCUGAGAGGAUGAUCAGCCACACUGGGACUGAGACACGGCCCAGACUCCUACGGGAGGCAGCAGUGGGGAAUAUUGGACAAUGGGCGAAAGCCUGAUCCAGCAAUGCCGCGUGAGUGAUGAAGGCCUUAGGGUUGUAAAGCUCUUUUACCCGGGAUGAUAAUGACAGUACCGGGAGAAUAAGCGCCGGCUAACUCCGUG
RNAcentral lists this ribosomal RNA (433 nucleotides) under uncultured bacterium. RNAcentral describes it as "partial 16S ribosomal RNA". It matches the Rfam family "Bacterial small subunit ribosomal RNA", at positions 29 to 507 of the family's 1533-position model. The record is from RNAcentral.